UUCUCUCAACUUUUUUUUGCAAAUGCAAAGAAGCUUCCCUCCUUGAAACCCAUCGACCAAGCCUGCAGACAAAUUAAAUUUCUGGUUCAGAAUGUAGCUAUUUUUUCCUAGUUUUUUGCUUGCAGAUAAGCCAAGCUAUGUAUCUCUCACCUGUAGAAAACGGACCUUCGGUUAAUGUUAGCCUAGUUGUCUUAGGUCCCAAGACUAAUGUAAGUAUUUGAAGCGCCCCUGGUAAACCAGGAACUCAAAUGUGAUACAAUACUAGUUCCAGGAGGCUAGUGACACAUUUAUUACAUCAGAUAAGUUUCAGCGUAGUAGUCUCGGAAAGCGUGGACAAGGAAGGCACGCUAUAAUAAUAAGACACCAAAAUACAACAUAGGUCCAAAGGACCUAGAAACAAACGAUAUCGUCAUCGAAUAUCUGACGAAUCCCAAUGCCACAGGCUUAGUUGGGUGCAGACAUGACCUUACUCGAACGCCACUUCGGGAUCGAAGUCCGGAUCUUCCUCUGUUUAAUAAAGCAAGGGUGAGUACAAAGUACUCAGCAAAUCCAACCUUACCCUACGGAAGGGCUUAACAAUAUAUAUGCAUAUGGAUAAAUCAAGAAUGAGGCUUAGUUUUAUUUGCAUAAAGCUAUCUUUUUACACAUGCAAAGUUUCAUUUCACAAAUACUGUUGUAAAAGACCUCUUUUUCCACAUAUGAUAGUAUUUCUAAAAAUGGGGGUUUGAUCACAAUUUUAAGUGUUGUUGAACCCUUGUUCCCACAACACAAUGGCAGUCAACCAUUUAUUUCCAAAAUCACACUCACUCUCAUGUUUUCACUCAUCCCAACCCAUCUAGUUGUUGAAACCAAACCAUAACCCGUCCGAGACCGCGGACACGGCUAUCCAGAUAGAUUUACACUCUGCAGAGGUUGUACACUUUUCCCACAAGUAGGAUACCAUAACUUACACCGUCGUGCAAGCACAGAUCCAUCAAAGUCAUUACCCUCCAUAGCUAAGUAAUGGCGCUCACCACGGGAACACUAAGGCCACAUCUCAUGAUACCACAAUAAUUCACAAAGCUCUUUUCAUAUAUUUCCACAAUUUCACAUACAUCACUUAGUGUCCCGUUGCACACCUGCCUCCAGGUGAUUGCCAUACUAACUAGAGGGAUUUAGACUAAGCCUUUCCCAUGCAAGGCGAGUGGUUGUACGAUAAAUGAGUUAGGCAAGAUGAAUCAUCAACUCAGUCCUUAAUCAAGACAAGGUGGAUAUCUUCACGCUUAACCCCGCAAGGUAUAAGCCACAACACCAGGACAUCCCCAAAAGAGAUCCCAUCCGCCCCAUCUCCAUAGUAAUCACAUCUAUAACUUGUUCAUUAACCCUUUCACAAUACCCACAAUUUAUUUUCACCACUCACACCUUUUACUUUUAAAAUCAUUAUAUUUGAGAAAAUAUAGCGAUGAGUAUCCAGGAUAAGUAACAAGUCCUAAGCAUACUAAAUAAUAAUAUUUCUAUCAUAGCAUAUUAUUUGUUCAUAGGUUCGAACAAGACAAUUACCGGGUAAUAUCAAUUCAAGGAUGGCUAUUCAACAGGUUUAACUAAGCAGCGAAAAUACUUCGUACAUAUAUCGUACAUGCAAUAUUUAAAACGGCUUCUACGGGUUGUGUUUAAAAAUAGGAUCAAUAUGCAUCAAAGGGGAUCGGUUGGACCUGCCUCCGUCGGCGUCCUCGGCAAACUCCUGCUGACAGUCCGGGUCCUCGACGUCAAACUCGCGGUACUCGUCUCCAACGUUCUCGUUUUCGGGCUCGUUCACUCCGUCAGCUAAAAUACGCGACGACCGACAAAGACAACAGGCACAGAUAAAUAAUCAUAUAAAUUCAAAUGAGCUCCAAAAAUCAUGAAAUUAAUAUGGGAGGUAUAUCAUGAUUUUAGAUGAAUUUAGGAAAAAGAAUUAUUGAAAUCAGAGUUAGCAUAUGGUAUUUGUGAAAUGGCCGGACUUUAAUCAUACGAAAAAGGCUAACGAUGAUUAAGGAAUGGAUGCUUCACGUGGGCAUUUGUUUGGCUGGUAGUGCAUGCAUGCAUGUACUAUUUGGUGAAGUUAAUGCUUAUGGCCCACGCAUGCAUGGUUAGAGAGAAAUUAGCAGAGGUCAUUAGAGCUCUUCUGUAUGUCAUGGUUCUAUUUGUGGAGUUCUUGGCAGUGAAUCGGUACAGACAAAUAUAAGGAAAAAUACAGAAAAAUACUACAGAAAGACAGAGAAGAGCAAGGAGAUGCUCAUGAGUUGCUCACCUCGUCUUGCGACGACAGUCGAGCUCGGCUUGUGCGUAUGGCCGUAUACGGUUUACGCGAAGUGAGAGCGAGUGAGCGAGUGAGUGAACGUGUUUCUCGGGUGGUGAGAGUGAGCACCCGAGGCUGGCUUUUUAUAGGCCAAAGCGCUCAGCUGCGUGCCAUUAAAAAUGCUACUGUAGCGCAUGGUCGGUGCCUAAUUUGCAUGCACGAUGCAUGCAAAUGGACGGUGCCUAAUCACCGUGUCCUUGCAUGCAGGUGCAUGCAAAUGGACGGUGCCUAAUCACCGUGUCCUUGCAUGCAGGCAUGAGAUAUAUAUUCGUGUAGGUGCACUGCUAUGUUUUCUUGCAUGUAAGCUUACUGGUACUCGCUGUUAUUUGUGCGCGAAAAAAUAUGGAUGGAUUAGAUGGAGAUAUUAUAGAGCUCAAAUUAUUUUAUAGUUUUUGAAAUAUAUUUUGAAAAUAAUUUUUAAUGCGAGUGAUUUUUGAAUGUGAAUUUUUGGGAUGUUACAGUAUUAGUUUCGGGUCCAAGUUUUACUAAAACUAAAGGUGUUUUAGUCUCUAUUAGUAUUACCAUCCCGGACUACCAAUCCGGACUAAUUGAAGAACCCUUUAGUCCCAGUUCGUAACACCAAUAUGAACUAAAGUUAUCCAACGUGUUAGUUCAAAAUUAAGAAAAGCAUCAGAUUUAAAGUCGGAUGGGACGGAAAGCUUCACGCAAAAUAAUACAAAAGGUCUUGGAUUCGAAUCCUACAAGUCACAAGGGUGGGGGAGGCAUUAUUUUUUUUAGCCUUAGAGGACCUUUAGUCUCGGUUAAGUAAACCGUCUUUUAGUACUGCAUUCCUAGUGUAGGGUGAGACAACCAGGACUAUAGGCCUUUUCCAACUGGGACCGAAUCCACGUUUUCUAAUAGUGUCUUCUUGUCCUAAUGAACAAUCUUGAAAAAACUAUAGAACUGUAACAAUAGAUGAACAAUGCUUGUCAUCUUUAGAUCCUAGGCUGACAACUAUAUAUUCACGUCGUUCACAGGAAAUAGUAUUUUCUCCAUAUAUACUAUAUUAUCAUAUAUUGAUUUUGUGAUCUCGACUAGAACAUGCUUUAGAGUAUCAUCAGUCCAAACUAACAUAUCUAGUGCACCAAUAAUAUGUCCAAACCACGCAUGGGCCGUUAAAUCAUCAUCAUGGAAAGAGGACAUCCGCAAGUACUACUAUUGGACGUUGGAGGAGCACUCAGAAAUAUUUAGUUUGAAUUGCAAUGGCAACAAUAAAUUGGUGGCCAUCAUACAUUCCUAACGGCUCUAGUACUAAGUUUGUUUUGUCCAUAUGUAUAUAUAGUCUAGUAAUCAAUCAACAGACCCACAUGGCCUGUCGUAGCAUAUAACAUGCAUGCCAAUCAUGUGCCUCUCAUAGUCAUACAUCGUUUGGUUUGGUUUGUCAGUUAUUGGUGCAUGAUCUUGUGCUGAAUUCUUGAGGAGAUUUAUCAGAAUCAUGCUUAUUGUUGGAAAGGAUGUUGCUUUGCAAGAGACUACUGAUCUAUUGACACGUAGUAUUAUUAGUCAUUACUUUACGGUCCUGCCUGCAUUAUUAGUACUUCGCUGGAAAGGAUCGAUGUUGUUUUGCAAGAGGCUACUGGUCUGUUGACACGUAUAGUAUAUAUCUAUCGGUUGAACAAGCAUGCGCAGAGCAAAGGUGUGAGUUCCUUAAUAACGAACAUAAUAUUCUUCUAAUAAGAUGCAGCACUGUUCGCUUGGCUGAUAAGCUAUAACUGAAAGUACUAUUCGCUGAUUUGUUACGAGAGAAAAACGUUAUCAAGGCAAAGUGUUCGGCUGUCGCCCUGAGAUUUUGAAGGCAUUGACCUGCCAGCUGCUAAGGACUCUAACGGUAAUAAUGCCAAAUAUUAUGGAGGAGGUUGUACUGUGUAAUCUAAAAAAAAACUUGAAAAUAGAUCAAAGCCAACAAAUAAAACCCGUUCGAUUCAAUUUGUUUAAAAAUUAGAGAAAUGGCCAUUCAGUUAUUUUAUUGUUAAAAAGUUAUUAUCUGUGUUGACUCCCUUGAAAUUCUACACCUGCUGGGUCGUAGUUGUUAACUCAUGCUUCUGUAGACGGAGACGUUGCUCCAUUGCAUCUGGAUCGAUCUUGGACCCCCUCCUGCCGUGUGCCCUACCACGUUCUUCCCUGAGCUCAUCAGGAUCCUGCUCGUUGUUUGUAUGCAUGCUGACCAUCGUCAGCUCCGCCUCCCCUCCUUGCCGUUUCAAAUCCUCCAGCUUUUUAUUAUUUGCCACGCCACACCACGUACAGGCCCACAGCAAAAUUAUGCUCUCACGUCGCUUCCUCCACCCCUAGCUAGCCUUUCCGUUGCUAGCUCGGACUCGAUCCCAUGCCGGCAGUCCAAAUCCAUUUCGAAUUAAAGAUGUCUAUGCAUGAACUAUACGUAGUAGUACACCCUUGCGCGGCGCCAUAAUGGCAUAAUAUGCCAUAUGGCUAUAGUAUCUUUCAUUUGGAAAUAAACAAAAAAUCGCAGCACCACGCAGACAGCACAGGCACAGCACAUGGCCGACGACACUGCCGCGCCGGCGGACGCCAACAACGCCCCACUACUACCCCGGCCGGCCGCCUAUAAAUAGAUCUCUCCACAUGGCCAUGUCUCUUCACUCCUUUCUUCACCAUCCCAGGAUCACUCACCAUUUCGUAAGCUCUGCUUCGUGCGGUUGACGCGCACGACAGCUAGCUUGAGGUGAAUUAUACCUAGCCACACCAUAGCAGAUUGAAGACGAUGGUUCACCGGCCGGCUGCAGCGAAUCGGUCAGGCUCAGGCGCAGGGCGGAGCCAGGUCGUGGACCAGCCGGCCGCGGCGAGAGGCACCAACGGGAGCGGGAGGCGGCAGCAGCAGGCGGCGCAAGAGCUGGUGCUGCGUCGGCUGCUGCCGUGCAACAAGGGCAAGGCGUGCCGGUUCAAACGCACCUGCUUCAGCGAAGAGGACGACGCCGCCUCCUCCGCCAUGCUCCUCCUCGCCUGCGUCGUUUGCG
This 5289-nucleotide long non-coding RNA is filed under the name Sorghum bicolor (sorghum). RNAcentral describes it as "long non-coding RNA (SBIC_LNC014016)". Lineage: Eukaryota; Viridiplantae; Streptophyta; Magnoliopsida; Poales; Poaceae. The record is from RNAcentral.